GUGGGGAAUCUUGCGCAAUGGGCGAAAGCCUGACGCAGCCAUGCCGCGUGAAUGAUGAAGGUCUUAGGAUUGCAAAAUUCUUUCACCGGGGACGAUAAUGACGGUACCCGGAGAAGAAGCUCCGGCUAACUUCGUGCCAGCAGCCGCGGUAAUACGAAGGGGGCUAGCGUUGCUCGGAAUUACUGGGCGUAAAGGGCGCGUAGGCGGACAGCUUAGUCAGAGGUGAAAGCCCAGGGCUCAACCUUGGAAUUGCCUUUGAUACUGGCUGUCUUGAGUUUGGGAGAGGUGAGUGGAACUCCGAGUGUAGAGGUGAAAUUCGUAGAUAUUCGGAAGAACACCAGUGGCGAAGGCGACUCACUGGCCCAAUACUGACGCUGAGGCGCGAAAGCGUGGGGAGCAAACAGGAUUAGAAACCCGAGUAGUCC
RNAcentral lists this ribosomal RNA (425 nucleotides) under uncultured bacterium. RNAcentral's name for it is "partial 16S ribosomal RNA". It matches the Rfam family "Bacterial small subunit ribosomal RNA", at positions 354 to 796 of the family's 1533-position model. The record is from RNAcentral.